CCUACGGGAGGCAGCAGUGAGGAAUAUUGGUCAAUGGGCGCGAGCCUGAACCAGCCAAGUCGCGUGAGGGAAGACGGUUCUAUGGAUUGUAAACCUCUUUUGUCGGGGAGCAAAAGACGCCACGCGUGGCGUUCCGAGAAUACCCGAAGAAAAAGCAUCGGCAAACUCCGUGCCUGCAGCCGCUGUAAUACGGAGGAUCCGAGCGUUAUCCGGAUUCAUUGGGUUUCAGGGGAGCGCAGGCGGAAGAUCAAGUCAGCGGUAAAAGUGAGAGGUUCAACCUCUUCGAGCCGUUGAAACUGGUUGUCUUGAGUGAGUGAGAAGUAUGCGGAAUGCGUGGUGUAGCGGUGAAAUGCAUAGAUAUCACGCAGAACUCCGAUUGCGAAGGCAGCAUACCGGCGCUCAACUGACGCUCAUGCACGAAAGUGUGGGUAUCGAACAGGAUUAGAUACCCGAGUAGUC
This 459-nucleotide ribosomal RNA is filed under the name uncultured bacterium. RNAcentral's name for it is "partial 16S ribosomal RNA". It matches the Rfam family "Bacterial small subunit ribosomal RNA", at positions 338 to 795 of the family's 1533-position model. The record is from RNAcentral.